GAUGAACGCUGGCGGCGUGCCUAAUACAUGCAAGUCGAGCGAACGGACGAGAAGCUUGCUUUUCUGAUGUUAGCGGCGGACGGGUGAGUAACACGUGGAUAACCUACCUAUAAGACUGGGAUAACUUCGGGAAACCGGAGCUAAUACCGGAUAAUAUUUUGAACCGCAUGGUUCAAAAGUGAAAGACGGUCUUGCUGUCACUUAUAGAUGGAUCCGCGCUGCAUUAGCUAGUUGGUAAGGUAACGGCUUACCAAGGCAACGAUGCAUAGCCGACCUGAGAGGGUGAUCGGCCACACUGGAACUGAGACACGGUCCAGACUCCUACGGGAGGCAGCAGUAGGGUAUCUUCCGCAAUGGGCGAAAGCCUGACGGAGCAACGCCGCGUGAGUGAUGAAGGUCUUCGGAUCGUAAAACUCUGUUAUUAGGGAAGAACAUAUGUGUAAGUAACUGUGAACAUCUUGACGGUACCUAAUCAGAAAGCCACGGCUAACUACGUG
RNAcentral lists this ribosomal RNA (497 nucleotides) under uncultured bacterium. Its description in RNAcentral is "partial 16S ribosomal RNA". It matches the Rfam family "Bacterial small subunit ribosomal RNA", at positions 28 to 507 of the family's 1533-position model. The record is from RNAcentral.